Molecule: ribosomal RNA, 915 nt
Filed under: archaeon enrichment culture clone C4-23C-A
Lineage: Archaea
Description: bacterial SSU rRNA
Rfam family: Archaeal small subunit ribosomal RNA
Source: RNAcentral
UUCCGGUUGAUCCCCCCCGGAGGUUACUGCUAUCGAGGUUCGACUAAGCCAUGCGAGUCGAAUGUAGCAAUACAUGGCGUACUGCUCAGUAACACGUGGACAACCUACCCUCCGGACGGGUAUAAACCCGGGAAACUGGGUAUAAUCCCCGAUAGAUCUCGGUCGCUGGAAUGCCCCGAGAUCGAAAGCUCCGGCGCCAGAGGAUGGGUCUGCGGCCUAUCAGGUAGUAGUGGGUGUAGCGUACCUACUAGCCUACGACGGGUACGGGUUGUGAGAGCAAGAGCCCGGAGAUGGAUUCUGAGACACGAAUCCAGGCCCUACGGGGUGCGGCAGGCGCGAAAACUUUACAAUGCCGGCAACGGCGAUAAGGGGACCUCGAGUGCCAGGUUACAAAUCUGGCUGUCGUGAUGCCUAAAAAGCAUUGCAUAGCAAGGGCCGGGCAAGACCGGUGCCAGCCGCCGCGGUAACACCGGCGGCUCGAGUGGUAACCGUUAUUAUUGGGUCUAAAGGGUCUGUAGCCGGCCGGAUAAGUCUCUUGAGAAAUCCAGCAGCUCAACUGUUGGGCUUUCAGGAGAUACUGUUCGGCUCGAGGCCGGGAGAGGUGAGAGGUACUUCAGGGGUAGGGGUGAAAUCUUGUAAUCCUUGAAGGACCACCAGUGGCGAAGGCGUCACACCAGAACGGACCUGACGGCAAGGGACGAAAGCUAGGGGCACGAACCGGAUUAGAUACCCGGGUAGUCCUAGCCGUAAACGAUACUCGCUAGGUGUCGGCCACGGUGCGACCGUUGUCGGUGCCGUAGGGAAGCCGUGAAGCGAGCCACCUGGGAAGUACGGCCGCAAGGCUGAAACUUAAAGGAAUUGGCGGGGGAGCACCACAACGGGUGGAGCUUGCGGUUUAAUUGGAUUCAACGCCGG